Molecule: ribosomal RNA, 2244 nt
Filed under: Triticum aestivum (bread wheat)
Lineage: Eukaryota; Viridiplantae; Streptophyta; Magnoliopsida; Poales; Poaceae
Description: partial small subunit ribosomal RNA
Source: RNAcentral
AUGCGUGAAUUUGUUCAAAGGAAGUCUGGACAAGUUGUCGCCCCUGAGAUUGGAAGAGAGUUCGACUCACUUGCGGAGGCAUUUGAAUUUUAUAAUCUUUAUUCUUGGGAGAUUGGGUUUGGCAUCAGAUAUGGUCAAUCUAGGACAAAUGCAAAGAAGAGCAGAACCGUUCAGGACAUCGUUUGCGGCUGUGCGGGAAGGCCAAAGAAAGAAAACACAAAGUCAGUAGCCUGCAACUGCCAAGCCUUGAUCAGGCUACACCGCACAGCCGACAAUGGAUGGUAUAUACAUGAUUUUAGAUCUGAACACAACCACCAUUUGUCCUCAUCGUGUGGCGAGAAACUACAUUGGCCAUCACACAGGAACAUUGACACACACACAAAAGAUAUUGUCAAGCACUUGAGGAGCAACAACAUUGGGAUAACCAAGGUUUUUUGUGUCAUGGCAAGCUUCUUUGGAUCAAUGGAGAGUGUACCAUUCAACAAGAGAGCUCUCAAGUACAUGUGCAAGAGGAUGAACCAAGAAACUGCAGAUGAUGACAUAAGGAAAACAGUUCAACUCUUCUCUGAACUUAAGAAGAAUGACCCAAUGUUUGCUGACAGUGUUCUUGUCGACGGCGACAGCAAGAUUCAGGCUCUUAUGUGGACAAAUGGAAGGAGUAGAUACCAAUACAAAAUGUUUGGCGAUGCAAUCACAUUCGACACAACAUAUCGUACAAACCAGUACGAUAUGCCAUUCGGACUAUUUGUUGGGGUCAACCAUCAUUUCCAGAGCAUAAUAUUAGGAGGCGUUAUGAUGAGGAACGAGAAGCAAGAAUCAUUCGAGUGGGUAUUCAAGGAAUUUGUGUCAUUAAUGGGAGGUAAAGCACCGGUAACUAUCCUAACAGACCAAUGCCGUGCCAUGGAGUUGGCUAUUGCUGAAGUAUUGCCUGGAACGAAGCACCGGUGGUGCAAAUGGCAUGUGCUGCGUCGUGCAAAGGAAUCCCUUGGCUCUGUAUACACACAGAACAAAGAUUUCAGGGAUGAACUACACAAGAUAUUGGAAUAUAUGCUCACUGUAGAAGAGUUCAAAGCAGCUUGGGCAAAGUUGAUUCAAAAGUAUGGUCUUCAGGAACACCCAAUGUUGACACAGAUAUACGAGCUCCGACAGAAAUGGGCAAAGCCAUAUUUUGCAGGUGUAUUCUGCGCGAGGAUGACAAGCACCCAACGGUCAGAGAGCGCUAACCACAUGUUGAAGAAUUUUGUACCUGCUGGUGCCUCAAUGCACAUGUUUGUUAGGAACUACCAGAAACUUCAGUUUGACCGUGAUUCAGAAGAAAAUUUUGCUGAGAAGAAAAGCCACUUGGUGAGCACAGUGCUCAAGACCGGUUUGCCUAUGGAGAGGCAUGCUGCGAAGGUUUACACACCUGCGCUGUUCAAACAGUUCCAAGAAGCAUGCUUCAAAUCUGCAUCCUACUACGUCGAGAACACUCUGGUCAUAAACGAUACAUAUUGUGUCACACACCUUUUUGCAGAGCGGAGAGAGAGCUGGUCAAAAACAUCUUACAAUGUCAAAGUGCAUCAACCUGAGAAUAUCUUCAAAUGCGAGUGUGGAAUGUAUGAGCAUAUGGGUUUGCUCUGCUGCCAUGCGAUCCGGGUAAUGGCACACUUGAAAUUCACGAAGAUACCAGAAGAGCACAUCAUGAGGAGGUGGACUAAAAACGCAUGUGAAGAUUUACCUGAGCACUUGAAAAUAUAUAAGGGACACAGCCCUAUCCUGGAAUCAACUACCUUCAGGCAUACAACACUUUACACAACAGCUCUUGAUAUUGUAAGGAUGGGUGACAGCAACCCUGAGGCCUUCGACCUUGCAAUGGUAAGGCUGUCAGAUGCAAGGGAUGAUCUCAAAGAAAAAGCAACUGAGAAAGAUGGCAAAGGACUAGAGGAUAUACUAGGUAAAGAAAACAUUGAUAUCAACGGGGUUGAUGCAGGCGACAUUAAUCUCAAAUCAUCAAUGAGGAUAGAAUCUCGCAAGAGAGAUCGUGGGCGACCUACCAACGCAAGAUCUAGGCCAGGCUAUGAAGUGAGCAAUCCAAGAACCAAGUUUUGUAAAACUUGCAGGGGAAAGGGACACAACUCUGGGAAGUGCCCAACAAAUGACGGAUCAAACAAGAAGCAGAGGAAAGAACCAAAGUGCGGGAAGUGUGGCGUACUUGGACACAUCAGGACACAAUGCAACAGAACAUUUGAAUCGUGGUUUAGAUGA